Long non-coding RNA from Cervus elaphus (red deer), 303 nucleotides. RefSeq lists it as uncharacterized. NCBI's taxonomy places the organism in Eukaryota, Metazoa, Chordata, Mammalia, Artiodactyla, Cervidae. The transcript has 2 exons. The record is from RefSeq and is a predicted model, not a curated record.
UCCCAACCCAGGAACUGAACCCAGGUCUUCCUCAUCUCAGGCAGAUUCUGUACCGACUGAGCCACCGAGGAAGCCCAAUUUUUUUUUUUUUUAAUUGAAGUCCAAUUACUUGCUAAAACCGUGGCUAGGCGUUAGUGGAAACAAAAGAUGAAUGAGUGUGUCUGACCUUUCAAGUACAUUAUAAUCCUGAAAGAAUGAUAAGGGGAAUAAUUAGUUUUUAAAGAGAAAAAAAGAUCUGAAGACAAUGCAGCCCAAAGAACUGAACAUUUCAUCGUUGACUUUUGGAAUCUGAAGUCAUUAAGC